RNAcentral lists this ribosomal RNA (253 nucleotides) under uncultured bacterium. Its description in RNAcentral is "partial 16S ribosomal RNA". It matches the Rfam family "Bacterial small subunit ribosomal RNA", at positions 524 to 776 of the family's 1533-position model. The record is from RNAcentral.
UACGUAGGGUGCGAGCGUUGUCCGGAAUCACUGGGCGUAAAGCGCGCGUAGGCGGACCUGCAAGUCGGGGGUGAAAGCCCGAGGCUCAACCUCGGAACUGCCUUCGAUACUGCGGGUCUCGAGUCCGGGAGAGGUGAGUGGAAUUCCUAGUGUAGAGGUGAAAUUCGUAGAUAUUAGGAAGAACACCAGUGGCGAAGGCGGCUCACUGGACCGGAACUGACGCUGAGGCGCGAAAGCGUGGGGAGCAAACAGG